GUGGAAUUUUUACGGUGGGUACACAUGAUGUACUGAUGCCUCUUAGUUAUGCCUGUGCUUCUUAGGAGGGAUGUGGGAGCUGCUGAGUCCAUCUGCCCCAGCCCCGACUGUCCAUGCAGCAACACAGCCCAUACAGACAGGGUGGCUUGCCCAUGGUCCCUAGCUGUUGCAGGAAGGGCUGGCCCUGGGCCCUGGGGUCUCCUGACCCCUGCAUGGUGCUCUGCCCAUCAUGGCUGCGGGGAUCCUCAGCCCCCCAGCUUUUGUCAGCCGCCUUUGUUCUCCAGUAAUGGUCUUGGGUGGUAGUUAAGUGCUUUGGUGACCUGUGUGUGUGAUGCUCACAAUAAAACAAGGGGCAAACGUGGGUUCGCUGUGACUUUCCCUAGAAAUUUCCUACGACCCUCGCAUUCCUCAAUCCAGCAGCAACCUUGUGCAAAGAAAAGAGGAAGGCCUUGGAGUCUGAGGACGUCUGCCAUUUGGGACACGUGGCCAGUCCCCUUGGUCCAUUCCUCUGUGAAGGGGAAGAGUACUUUGGCUUCGGGCUUCCUGGGAUAGCAUGAGACGGUGACUGACAAGCAUUCAGCACACACCAAGCUUUCCACGUGUGGCCACCUGCCUGUGUCCUCUUCCUGCUCCUGAUCAUCCUUUCUCCUCAUUUCAUGCACCCCUUUCCUCCUCCUCCUUUUCCUUCUUUGCAAAUAAAUGUGUCCGCUGCUUCUGAUUCAGCUACAUUCAUAUCCUUAGUUCAUGUGAGUUUGAAAAUAGUGGUUGGCAAUAUUGACGCAGACGUCUUGUGAAAGAAAUGUGGGUUGGGCCAGGGUCAUUGAAAGUUGAAAGUCACCAGUAUUAUUGGUGAUUUAAUUUUGGGUCGGAAGAACAGGAAAACACCAACCUAAACAGAGGCCUGGUAAGUGCCACCCUGAAGGACUUCACAGUGUAGAAGGUGCGGUUGACUGGCAGCUCCC
This 962-nucleotide long non-coding RNA is filed under the name Marmota monax (woodchuck). Lineage: Eukaryota; Metazoa; Chordata; Mammalia; Rodentia; Sciuridae. The record is from RNAcentral.